This 383-nucleotide long non-coding RNA is filed under the name Mytilus galloprovincialis (Mediterranean mussel). The record is from RNAcentral. Lineage: Eukaryota; Metazoa; Mollusca; Bivalvia; Mytilida; Mytilidae.
AAAAGGAGCAAAAUUUCCUUAAAAUUACUAAUUCAGGGCCAGCAACCCAACAACGGGUUGUCCGAUUCAUCUGAAAAUUUCAGGGCAGAUAGAUCUUGAACUGAUAAACAAUUUUACCCCAUGUCAGAUUUGCUCUAAAUGCUUUGGGUUUUGAGUUAUAAGCCAAAAACUGCAUUUUACCCCAUGUUCUAUUUUUAGCCAUGGCGGCCAUCUUGGUUUGAUGGCCGGGUCACCGGACACAUUUUUCAAACUACUAACCCAAAAGAUGAUUGUGGCCAAGUUUGGAUUAAUUUGGCCCAGUAGUUUCAGAGGAAAAGAUUUUUGUAAAAUAUUACUAAGAUUUACGAAAAAUGAUUAAAAAUUGACUAUAAAGGGCAAUAACU